AGCGAACGCUAGCGGCGGGCCUAACACAUGCAAGUCGAGCGCAUACCUUCGGGUAUGAGCGGCGGACGGGUGAGUAACGCGUAGGUCAUCUACCCUUUGGUGGGGGAUAACCCAGGGAAACUUGGGCUAAUACCGCACGAGGUCUACGGAUCAAAGCCUUCGGGCGCCAGAGGAUGAGCCUGCGUCGCAUUACCUAGUUGGCGGGGUAACGGCCCACCAAGGGGGACGAUGCGUAGCUGGUCUGAGAGGAUGAUCAGCCACACUGGGACUGAGACACGGCCCAGACUCCUACGGGAGGCAGCAGUGGGGAAUAUUGCGCAAUGGGGGAAACCCUGACGCAGCCACGCCGCGUGGGUGAUGAAGGCCUUCGGGUUGUAAAGCCCUGUCGGGAGGGACGGAAUUCUUGACGGUACCUCCAAAGAAAGCACCGGCUAACUCCGUGCCAGCAGCCGCGGUAAU
RNAcentral lists this ribosomal RNA (459 nucleotides) under uncultured bacterium. RNAcentral's name for it is "bacterial SSU rRNA". It matches the Rfam family "Bacterial small subunit ribosomal RNA", at positions 28 to 524 of the family's 1533-position model. The record is from RNAcentral.